GGGUGCGAUCAUACCAACGUUAAUGCAACGAAUCCCAUCAGAACUCCACAGUUAAGCACGCUUGGGCUAGAGUAGUACUGGGAUGGGUGACCUCCCGAGAAGUCCUAGUGUUGCACCCU
This is a non-coding RNA of Picea glauca (white spruce), 119 nucleotides long. NCBI's taxonomy places the organism in Eukaryota, Viridiplantae, Streptophyta, Pinopsida, Pinales, Pinaceae. The record is from Rfam.